Molecule: unclassified non-coding RNA, 148 nt
Organism: Pongo abelii (Sumatran orangutan)
Lineage: Eukaryota; Metazoa; Chordata; Mammalia; Primates; Hominidae
Rfam family: Metazoan signal recognition particle RNA
About the family: The signal recognition particle (SRP) is a universally conserved ribonucleoprotein. It is involved in the co-translational targeting of proteins to membranes.
Source: Ensembl
GCUGGGCAUGUUGGCUCAUGCCUGUAGUCCCAGCUAAUCAGGAGGCUGAGGUGGGAGGAUCACUUGAGCCCAGGAUUACAAGGCUACAGUGAGCCAUGAUUGUGCCACUGCACUCCAGCCUGGGUGACAGAGUGAGAUCCUGUCUCAA